CUGCCACUCCCGGCAGCCAUUUCCAGAACCCCAGUGCUACAGAGGAGCAGAAAGUGAGGUACAGGCAUGAUCUUCAGUUUGACAACUGGCAUCACAAAUGGGAGAAUGCAGUUUCCUCUCCAGCUGUCUUGGUGUAGACAGAUGCAAGCAGUUCAUGAUCAGUCCCAGGCCCGUUUGGGCAUGUGCCCAAAAGCAUGAACUAGGAAACUUUGAAAGGGAAAUUUGCAGCUGGGCUGAUAGAAAGCUGCUUUAUGCAUCUGGGUCGGCCUCCUUGUUUUUCAGAGCCUGCCGAGAACAAGCGCAUGGAAAUUUUUAAUUAAACAGUGGAAUGGAUUCUUUUCUAAUAGAGCCAAGAGGUUUGCUGGGUUGUUUGAGAAACACCGCACAUACAGGACAGAAAGGUGAGCAUGCCUGUGAACUUGGAGGUGCUGGUUUUAAAAGCGUGGGGGAAUCGGCCCUUUGCAAGCUCUGC
Molecule: long non-coding RNA, 472 nt
Organism: Hemicordylus capensis (graceful crag lizard)
Lineage: Eukaryota; Metazoa; Chordata; Lepidosauria; Squamata; Cordylidae
Exons: 4
Source: RefSeq, a predicted model, not a curated record